UCAGCGUGCAGAAAUCGAAAGACCUCAUUGUCGUUUUCCGGUGUGGAGAGAUACCACACCACACAAGUUCGUGGUGGAAAAGAAGAAAAAAAAUAGUUUUGUCGCCCGGAAGAAAACCGCGUGGGAAGUGCGCCUAGGAGAUCCGAACCACAGCCACUACACGGUGAAUAGCCAGGCCAGGCCACGUGCAGCCACUGCACCGGUCCAUUCGAGGACGGAAAAGGCAUCAAGCCUAAAAAGGGUAGCCCCAGCUGGGAAUCCCGGUCCGGGAGAAGACAAGAAAGAACGGCAAAAGGGUCGCGCAGGC
Long non-coding RNA from Uranotaenia lowii, 307 nucleotides. RefSeq lists it as uncharacterized. NCBI's taxonomy places the organism in Eukaryota, Metazoa, Arthropoda, Insecta, Diptera, Culicidae. The record is from RefSeq and is a predicted model, not a curated record. The transcript is spliced from 3 exons.